This 396-nucleotide ribosomal RNA is filed under the name uncultured bacterium. RNAcentral's name for it is "bacterial SSU rRNA". It matches the Rfam family "Bacterial small subunit ribosomal RNA", at positions 29 to 416 of the family's 1533-position model. The record is from RNAcentral.
AACGAACGCUGGCGGCGCGCCUAAUACAUGCAAGUCGAGCGAGAAGACGUAGCAAUACGUUUGUAAAGCGGCGAACGGGUGAGGAAUACAUGGGUAACCUACCCUCGAGUGGGGAAUAACUAGCCGAAAGGUUAGCUAAUACCGCGUACGCUCCUUGGACUUCGGUUCAGGGAGGAAAGCGAUACCGUGGGUAUCGCGCUCUUGGAUGGGCUCAUGUCCUAUCAGCUUGUUGGUGAGGAACGGCUCACCAAGGCUUCGACGGGUAGCUGGUCUGAGAGGACAAUCAGCCACACUGGCACUGCGACACGGGCCAGACUCCUACGGGAGGCAGCAGUGGGGAAUAUUGGACAAUGGGCGCAAGCCUGAUCCAGCCAUGCCGCGUGAGUGAUGAAGGCC